GCAAGUCGAGCGGUAGCACAGAGAGCUUGCUCUCGGGUGACGAGCGGCGGACGGGUGAGUAAUGUCUGGGAAACUGCCUGAUGGAGGGGGAUAACUACUGGAAACGGUAGCUAAUACCGCAUAACGUCGCAAGACCAAAGUGGGGGACCUUCGGGCCUCAUGCCAUCAGAUGUGCCCAGAUGGGAUUAGCUAGUAGGUGGGGUAACGGCUCACCUAGGCGACGAUCCCUAGCUGGUCUGAGAGGAUGACCAGCCACACUGGAACUGAGACACGGUCCAGACUCCUACGGGAGGCAGCAGUGGGGAAUAUUGCACAAUGGGCGCAAGCCUGAUGCAGCCAUGCCGCGUGUGUGAAGAAGGCCUUCGGGUUGUAAAGCACUUUCAGCGGGGAGGAAGGCGUUAAGGUUAAUAACCUUGGCGAUUGACGUUACCCGCAGAAGAAGCACCGGCUAACUCCGUGCCAGCAGCCGCGGUAAUACGGAGGGUGCAAGCGUUAAUCGGAAUUACUGGGCGUAAAGCGCACGCAGGCGGUCUGUCAAGUCGGAUGUGAAAUCCCCGGGCUCAACCUGGGAACUGCAUUCGAAACUGGCAGGCUAGAGUCUUGUAGAGGGGGGUAGAAUUCCAGGUGUAGCGGUGAAAUGCGUAGAGAUCUGGAGGAAUACCGGUGGCGAAGGCGGCCCCCUGGACAAAGACUGACGCUCAGGUGCGAAAGCGUGGGGAGCAAACAGGAUUAGAUACCCUGGUAGUCCACGCCGUAAACGAUGUCGAUUUGGAGGUUGUGCCCUUGAGGCGUGGCUUCCGGAGCUAACGCGUUAAAUCGACCGCCUGGGGAGUACGGCCGCAAGGUUAAAACUCAAAUGAAUUGACGGGGGCCCGCACAAGCGGUGGAGCAUGUGGUUUAAUUCGAUGCAACGCGAAGAACCUUACCUGGUCUUGACAUCCACAGAACUUUCCAGAGAUGGAUUGGUGCCUUCGGGAACUGUGAGACAGGUGCUGCAUGGCUGUCGUCAGCUCGUGUUGUGAAAUGUUGGGUUAAGUCCCGCAACGAGCGCAACCCUUAUCCUUUGUUGCCAGCGGUCCGGCCGGGAACUCAAAGGAGACUGCCAGUGAUAAACUGGAGGAAGGUGGGGAUGACGUCAAGUCAUCAUGGCCCUUACGACCAGGGCUACACACGUGCUACAAUGGCAUAUACAAAGAGAAGCGACCUCGCGAGAGCAAGCGGACCUCAUAAAGUAUGUCGUAGUCCGGAUUGGAGUCUGCAACUCGACUCCAUGAAGUCGGAAUCGCUAGUAAUCGUAGAUCAGAAUGCUACGGUGAAUACGUUCCCGGGCCUUGUACACACCGCCCGUCACACCAUGGGAGUGGGUUGCAAAAGAAGUAGGUAGCUUAACCUUCGGGAGGGC
This 1402-nucleotide ribosomal RNA is filed under the name Klebsiella pneumoniae. Its description in RNAcentral is "bacterial SSU rRNA". It matches the Rfam family "Bacterial small subunit ribosomal RNA". The record is from RNAcentral. Lineage: Bacteria; Pseudomonadati; Pseudomonadota; Gammaproteobacteria; Enterobacterales; Enterobacteriaceae.